AGAGACGGAGAGACAAAGGAGGGAAUGGGAGAGCACAAAGGGAGCGGGAAUGAAAUGGAGCCUGCUUCCAGCCAUGUGAAGAUGCCUGCUGCAGCCUCGCCUUCUGCCUUGAAUAAAAGCUCCCUCAGGCCUCCCCAGAAAAAGAUGCUGCCAUGCUUCCUGUACAGCCUGCAGAACAUGAGAAGGAAGCAUAUGAAUGUUCAGAGAAGAUAAAGUCUAUGUACGCCAUAAAGGAGACAAUGGAAAAGGGGCCUUGAAGUAAAGGUGGAAUUGGCCAGGCAAGAAGGAUAAAGAAGACUAUUAUAGCCCUGGAAAAUAGUAUAAACAAAGACAGUCAGUUCUGCUCUAAGUCUUGUUUUGAAAACAUGAAUUUGUUCCAACCCAAUUCAUAUAUUAGGGAGCAAUCUAAGUGUAAUACAGAUUUUGCAUUUGCUGGUGCAUGGUUUUUCCCUGAGAAACACCAGAUGAAUGGAGAAAACUCUACUGAGCUGAACCAAACAGGGCAGAAGUACACAAAAUGUACACAAGGACACCUCUCAAAUUCCUACCACCUGAGUUUACAGGGUGUGUUAGAAACCCUCUUUCCACCACUUCAUAGGAACUCAUAAGCUGCACCCCUUCCAACGACCAGCUCCAUAUACAAAAUUAAUGUCUGUUUCAGGAUACUCUGCCAUAUUUAUUGCAGCAUGUAUCUAUUUCUUAACCAUUUAAUGUGUGAACUGUGCUACAACUUUAUUAGAUUCCUAUCUUUUUUGUUGUUAUAUUGACAAAACUUCUCAAUGUUGUAACCUCUAACUAUUUUUCCCAUUAGCCCUAUAGUUUUGUUUUUGUUGUUGUUGUUUUGUUUUGUGAGAUGGAGUCUUGCUCUGUUGCCAGGCUGGAGUGCAGUGGCACAAUCUCGGCUCACUGCAACCUCUGCCUCUGGGGUUCAAGCAAUUCUCCUGCCUCAGCCUCCUAAGUAGCUGGGAUUACAGGAGCAUGCCACCACCCCUGGCUAAUUUUUGUAUUUUUAGUAGAGACGGGGUUUCACCAUGUUGGCCAGGAUGGUCUCCAACUCCUGACCUUGUGGUCCACCCACCUCGGCCUCCCACAGUGUUGGGAUUACAGGCGUGAGACCAGACAGCCCUAUAGUUGUUCUUGGCAUGGUUUUUGCAUAACAGGGUGAUUUUAGGAGCAUAGAUGUUGUGCUAUAGCAAAACUGACUGCAGGGGUUAUGGAAUAAAAAUCUUGGAGAACUGUAA
This is a long non-coding RNA of Homo sapiens (human), 1241 nucleotides long. RefSeq lists it as uncharacterized. Lineage: Eukaryota; Metazoa; Chordata; Mammalia; Primates; Hominidae. The record is from RefSeq and is a predicted model, not a curated record. The transcript has 3 exons.